This 170-nucleotide ribosomal RNA is filed under the name Staphylococcus aureus. Its description in RNAcentral is "partial 16S ribosomal RNA". It matches the Rfam family "Bacterial small subunit ribosomal RNA", at positions 1 to 165 of the family's 1533-position model. The record is from RNAcentral. Lineage: Bacteria; Bacillati; Bacillota; Bacilli; Caryophanales; Staphylococcaceae.
UUUAUGGAGAGUUUGAUCCUGGCUCAGGAUGAACGCUGGCGGUGUGCCUAAUACAUGCAAGUCGAGCGAACGGACGAGAAGCUUGCUUCUCUGAUGUUAGCGGCGGACGGGUGAGUAACACGUGGAUAACCUACCUAUAAGACUGGGAUAACUUCGGGAAACCGGAGCUA